RNAcentral lists this ribosomal RNA (424 nucleotides) under uncultured bacterium. RNAcentral describes it as "bacterial SSU rRNA". It matches the Rfam family "Bacterial small subunit ribosomal RNA", at positions 608 to 1029 of the family's 1533-position model. The record is from RNAcentral.
CUCAACUGGGAGAGGCCGUUCGAAACUCUUUGGCUAGAGGACGGUAGAGGCGAGUGGAAUUCCCGGUGUAGUGGUGAAAUGCGUAGAUAUCGGGAGGAACACCAGAGGCGAAAGCGGCUCGCUGGGCCGAUUCUGACGCUGAGACGCGAAAGCUAGGGGAGAGAACGGGAUUAGAAACCCCGGUAUUCCUAGCCGUAAACGAUGUCAACUAGGUGUAGGGGGUGUAGAAGCCUUCUGCGCUGCCGCCAACGCAGUAAGUUGACCGCCUGGGGAGUACGGCCGCAAGGCUAAAACUCAAAGGAAUUGACGGGGCCCGCACAAGCAGCGGAGCGUGUGGUUUAAUUCGAGGCAACGCGAAGAACCUUACCAGGGUUUGACAUGCUGGUGGUAGGGAGGUGAAAGCCGACUGACCCUUCGGGGAGCC